This 165-nucleotide ribosomal RNA is filed under the name Diplotropis martiusii. RNAcentral's name for it is "5.8S ribosomal RNA". It matches the Rfam family "5.8S ribosomal RNA". From Rfam's summary of the family: 5.8S ribosomal RNA (5.8S rRNA) is a component of the large subunit of the eukaryotic ribosome. The record is from RNAcentral. Lineage: Eukaryota; Viridiplantae; Streptophyta; Magnoliopsida; Fabales; Fabaceae.
AAUAUGACUCUCGGCAACGGAUAUCUCGGCUCUCGCAUCGAUGAAGAACGUAGCGAAAUGCGAUACUUGGUGUGAAUUGCAGAAUCCCGUGAACCAUCGAGUCUUUGAACGCAAGUUGCGCCCGAAGCCAUUAGGCUGAGGGCACGCCUGCCUGGGUGUCGCACA